UAUAAGCUUAUAGUUUAAAAAACUAUAUACAAUGAUUCCUAAUUUGAUGCCAAUAGCUCGUGUGAGCAUCCACAGUGAUGGGUUCUUGUGCGGAUUAUCAGAGGCAGCAGCACCGUCGUGGAGUACAUGUACAUCAAUGUCGACGGUGCCGGCAGCAACGACACAAGGUGGGCGAUUUGACCAGCGCAACAUUCUUAUUUGAGGAGCUGUGCGCAGUUCUGAAAAAAUUAAGUUGUGCUUGGUGACAUGCCUCAUUUCUGUGGUUGAAUAUUUGUGUUACCAUUUUCUCCCUUGCUGUGGAAAGCCACCAGCUUCAGGGAGUGCCAGGCUUCCACACAGCCAGAACAGACGCCACCUUUGGCAGCGAGCGUGAGGAUUUGGCUUGUCGAUACGAGUGAUAGCAGCGCCAUCUGCAGAUUCCGCAGAUUCGAGCUGUAGCGGAAGCUGCCAGGCUGCCGAGAUGAAGAUGGAGCCGCUGCGGCGCUGCGCCUCCAAGCUGUCGGGCCGCCAAGAUGCAGUUGGAGCCGCAGUGCCUCCGAGCUGCAGUGGGAGCCACUCCCCCGUCAAGCUACAGCGUGAUCCGCUGUGAAGAUGGAGCCUAGCGUGAGCCGCCUCCACCAGGUCCUUUCUCGAGUACAGUGGGGAGAGGAAGAGGAUGAACUGGUCGAUGGAAUCAAGGCUAACAGUCCACCACGUGGUUAUCUCCGGCAUUAUAUGUCCAGACUCCAGAGUGUGGUUUUUUGCCACAAUGGCACGGUUGUAAAUUUAUCUUUGGUGCUAAUUUGUACUUUAUGUAACUGGUAUAAUCUUUAUUGUUUCAUCAAAUUUAUUCCCACUUAUCUUAA
Molecule: long non-coding RNA, 845 nt
Organism: Triticum aestivum (bread wheat)
Lineage: Eukaryota; Viridiplantae; Streptophyta; Magnoliopsida; Poales; Poaceae
Exons: 3
Source: RefSeq, a predicted model, not a curated record